Molecule: ribosomal RNA, 447 nt
Filed under: uncultured Thiobacillus sp.
Lineage: Bacteria; Pseudomonadati; Pseudomonadota; Betaproteobacteria; Nitrosomonadales; Thiobacillaceae
Description: bacterial SSU rRNA
Rfam family: Bacterial small subunit ribosomal RNA
Source: RNAcentral
UGGAUGAUGUGGAUUAAUUCGAUGCAACGCGAAAACCUUACCUACCCUUGACAUGUCCGGAAUCCUGCAGAGAUGCGGGAGUGCCCGAAAGGGAAUCGGAACACAGGUGCUGCAUGGCUGUCGUCAGCUCGUGUCGUGAGAUGUUGGGUUAAGUCCCCGCAACGAGCGCAACCCUUAUCAUUAGUUGCUACGCAAGGGCACUCUAAUGAGACUGCCGGUGACAAACCGGAGGAAGGUGGGGAUGACGUCAAGUCCUCAUGGCCUUUAUGACCAGGGCUACACACGUACUACAAUGGCCGGUACAAAGGGCAGCGACACAGGCGAUGUGAAAGCCAAUCCCGAAAAGCCGGUCUCAGUCCGGAUUGGAGUCUGCAACUCGACUCCAUGAAGUUGGAAUCGCUAGUAAUCGUGGAUCAGCACGCCACGGUGAAUACGUUCCCGGGCCUU